ACGAUGUUCAAACAAGCCGCCACUGAGCCACGGAUGGCGAAUUGGCGGCGGUUUCGUGUGACGAGAUAAUGUGUGCCAGAACAUUUAGUAAUUCGUAGUUUCAAUACAU
Clostridium sp. CAG:127 is the source of this 109-nucleotide non-coding RNA. Lineage: Bacteria; Bacillati; Bacillota; Clostridia; Eubacteriales; Clostridiaceae. The record is from Rfam.